AUUCCAGCUCCAAUAGCGUAUAUUAAAGUUGUUGCGGUUAAAAAGCUCGUAGUUGGAUUUCUGUCAAUGUUUACCGAUCCUUCUUCAUGUUGGCAUCUGGUAGACAAGACAAAUCUUGGUUUACGUGUCGGCGCUUAAUUGUGCUGCGCAACUUCCAAGUCAUUUACUUUGAGGAAAUUAGAGUGUUUCAAGCAGGCAUAUGCCUUGAAUACAUUAGCAAGGAAUAAUAAUAUAAGACUUUGGUUUUGUUUUGUUGGUUCUAAAAACUAAAGUAAUGAUAAAUAGGGACAGUCGGGGGCAUUCGUACUUAACUGUCAGAGGUGAAAUUCUUGGAUUUGUUAAAGACGAACUACUGCGAAAGCAUUUGCCAAGGAUGUUUUCAUCA
RNAcentral lists this ribosomal RNA (385 nucleotides) under Dinophyceae sp. Its description in RNAcentral is "partial small subunit ribosomal RNA". It matches the Rfam family "Eukaryotic small subunit ribosomal RNA", at positions 582 to 975 of the family's 1831-position model. The record is from RNAcentral. Lineage: Eukaryota; Dinophyceae.